Dendrobium catenatum is the source of this 85-nucleotide small nucleolar RNA. The record is from RefSeq and is a predicted model, not a curated record. Lineage: Eukaryota; Viridiplantae; Streptophyta; Magnoliopsida; Asparagales; Orchidaceae.
UGCGAUCUGUGAUGAAAUGUCGUGAAAUUUAUGAACUUCUUUGAUUAUUAGACCAAAUAAUCACCAUCUUUCGGCUGAGAUCGCC